CAUCGCCGCCGUCCCUGAAUCCGGUUGGCGUCGUCUCCCCCUUCACUGUCUCUCUCUUCUCUCAAUCCUUUUCUCUCUCUAAAGCCGAUUGCACACUCAAAUCGAGCCCUAAUUCCCCCCUUAAACUGUCUGCCUCUCUCUCCCUCUAAAUUCAGGCGUCGCCGCCGUCCUAAGGGCGGCGUUGCUCCGCCUCAUCUCUGACUCCCUCUUCCAUUCCUUAAUUAGUUCGAUUUUGUUUCCACUUCUUAAACCCA
This 254-nucleotide long non-coding RNA is filed under the name Salvia miltiorrhiza (redroot sage). Its description in RNAcentral is "long non-coding RNA (SMIL_LNC001851)". Lineage: Eukaryota; Viridiplantae; Streptophyta; Magnoliopsida; Lamiales; Lamiaceae. The record is from RNAcentral.